UUAAGCGACUAAGCGUACACGGUGGAUGCCCUGGCAGUCAGAGGCGAUGAAGGGCGUGCUAAUCUGCGAUAAGCGCCGGUAAGGUGAUAUGAACCGUUAUAACCGGCGAUACCCGAAUGGGGAAACCCAGUGUGAUUCGUCACACUAUCAUUAACUGAAUCCAUAGGUUAAUGAGGCGAACCGGGGGAACUGAAACAUCUAAGUACCCCGAGGAAAAGAAAUCAACCGAGAUUCCCCCAGUAGCGGCGAGCGAACGGGGAGGAGCCCAGAGCCUGAAUCAGCAUGUGUGUUAGUGGAAGCGUCUGGAAAGGCGCGCGAUACAGGGUGACAGCCCCGUACACAAAAGCGCAUGUGCUGUGAGCUCGAUGAGUAGGGCGGGACACGUGGUAUCCUGUCUGAAUAUGGGGGGGACCAUCCUCCAAGGCUAAAUACUCCUGACUGACCGAUAGUGAACCAGUACCGUGAGGGAAAGGCGAAAAGAACCCCGGCGAGGGGAGUGAAAAAGAACCUGAAACCGUGUACGUACAAGCAGUGGGAGCACAGGUUUACCUGUGUGACUGCGUACCUUUUGUAUAAUGGGUCAGCGACUUAUAUUCUGUAGCAAGGUUAACCGCAUAGGGGAGCCGGAGGGAAACCGAGUCUUAAUUGGGCGUUAAGUUGCAGGGUAUAGACCCGAAACCCGGUGAUCUAGCCAUGGGCAGGUUGAAGGUUGGGUAACACUAACUGGAGGACCGAACCGACUAAUGUUGAAAAAUUAGCGGAUGACCUGUGGCUGGGGGUGAAAGGCCAAUCAAACCGGGAGAUAGCUGGUUCUCCCCGAAAGCUAUUUAGGUAGCGCCUCGUGAAUUCAUCUCCGGGGGUAGAGCACUGUUUCGGCUAGGGGGCCAUCCCGGCUUACCAACCCGAUGCAAACUGCGAAUACCGGAGAAUGUUAUCACGGGAGACACACGGCGGGUGCUAACGUCCGUCGUGAAGAGGGAAACAACCCAGACCGCCAGCUAAGGUCCCAAAGUCAUGGUUAAGUGGGAAACGAUGUGGGAAGGCCCAGACAGCCAGGAUGUUGGCUUAGAAGCAGCCAUCAUUUAAAGAAAGCGUAAUAGCUCACUGGUCGAGUCGGCCUGCGCGGAAGAUGUAACGGGGCUAAACCAUGCACCGAAGCUGCGGCAGCGAACGUAUCACCCAAGACAACUUUGCACAGUUGACGAUUGACGGAGCGGAGCGACGUCAAAGCGUUUUACAACGUCGAGUUGGCUUAGGGAUACGUUCGUUGGGUAGGGGAGCGUUCUGUAAGCCUGCGAAGGUGGCCUGUGAGGGUUGCUGGAGGUAUCAGAAGUGCGAAUGCUGACAUAAGUAACGAUAAAGCGGGUGAAAAGCCCGCUCGCCGGAAGACCAAGGGUUCCUGUCCAACGUUAAUCGGGGCAGGGUGAGUCGACCCCCUAAGGCGAGGCCGAAAGGCGUAGUCGAUGGGAAACGGGUUAAUAUUCCCGUACUUGGUGUUACUGCGAAGGGGGGACGGAGAAGGCUAUGUUGGCCGGGCGACGGUUGUCCCGGUUUAAGCGUGUAGGCUGGUUUUCCAGGCAAAUCCGGAAAAUCAAGGCUGAGGCGUGACGACGAGGCACUACGGUGCUGAAGCAACAAAUGCCCUGCUUCCAGGAAAAGCCUCUAAGCAUCAGGUAACAUCAAAUCGUACCCCAAACCGACACAGGUGGUCAGGUAGAGAAUACCAAGGCGCUUGAGAGAACUCGGGUGAAGGAACUAGGCAAAAUGGUGCCGUAACUUCGGGAGAAGGCACGCUGACAUGUAGGUGAAGUGAUUUACUCAUGGAGCUGAAGUCAGUCGAAGAUACCAGCUGGCUGCAACUGUUUAUUAAAAACACAGCACUGUGCAAACACGAAAGUGGACGUAUACGGUGUGACGCCUGCCCGGUGCCGGAAGGUUAAUUGAUGGGGUCAGCGCAAGCGAAGCUCCUGAUCGAAGCCCCGGUAAACGGCGGCCGUAACUAUAACGGUCCUAAGGUAGCGAAAUUCCUUGUCGGGUAAGUUCCGACCUGCACGAAUGGCGUAAUGAUGGCCAGGCUGUCUCCACCCGAGACUCAGUGAAAUUGAACUCGCUGUGAAGAUGCAGUGUACCCGCGGCAAGACGGAAAGACCCCGUGAACCUUUACUAUAGCUUGACACUGAACAUUGAGCCUUGAUGUGUAGGAUAGGUGGGAGGCUUUGAAGUGUGGACGCCAGUCUGCAUGGAGCCAACCUUGAAAUACCACCCUUUAAUGUUUGAUGUUCUAACGUGGACCCGUUACCCGGGUUGCGGACAGUGUCUGGUGGGUAGUUUGACUGGGGCGGUCUCCUCCUAAAGAGUAACGGAGGAGCACGAAGGUUGGCUAAUCCUGGUCGGACAUCAGGAGGUUAGUGCAAUGGCAUAAGCCAGCUUGACUGCGAGCGUGACGGCGCGAGCAGGUGCGAAAGCAGGUCAUAGUGAUCCGGUGGUUCUGAAUGGAAGGGCCAUCGCUCAACGGAUAAAAGGUACUCCGGGGAUAACAGGCUGAUACCGCCCAAGAGUUCAUAUCGACGGCGGUGUUUGGCACCUCGAUGUCGGCUCAUCACAUCCUGGGGCUGAAGUAGGUCCCAAGGGUAUGGCUGUUCGCCAUUUAAAGUGGUACGCGAGCUGGGUUUAGAACGUCGUGAGACAGUUCGGUCCCUAUCUGCCGUGGGCGCUGGAGAACUGAGGGGGGCUGCUCCUAGUACGAGAGGACCGGAGUGGACGCAUCACUGGUGUUCGGGUUGUCAUGCCAAUGGCACUGCCCGGUAGCUAAAUGCGGAAGAGAUAAGUGCUGAAAGCAUCUAAGCACGAAACUUGCCCCGAGAUGAGUUCUCCCUGAGACUUAAAGUCUCCUGAAGGAACGUUGAAGACGACGACGUUGAUAGGCCGGGUGUGUAAGCGCAGCGAUGCGUUGAGCUAACCGGUACUAAUGAACCGUGAGGCUUAACCUU
Molecule: ribosomal RNA, 2990 nt
Filed under: Salmonella enterica subsp. enterica serovar Sanjuan
Lineage: Bacteria; Pseudomonadati; Pseudomonadota; Gammaproteobacteria; Enterobacterales; Enterobacteriaceae
Description: 23S ribosomal RNA
Rfam family: Bacterial large subunit ribosomal RNA
Source: RNAcentral